Molecule: ribosomal RNA, 434 nt
Filed under: uncultured Oscillibacter sp.
Lineage: Bacteria; Bacillati; Bacillota; Clostridia; Eubacteriales; Oscillospiraceae
Description: partial 16S ribosomal RNA
Rfam family: Bacterial small subunit ribosomal RNA
Source: RNAcentral
ACGGGAGGCAGCAGUGGGGGAUAUUGCACAAUGGGGGAAACCCUGAUGCAGCGACGCCGCGUGAGUGAAGAAGUAUUUCGGUAUGUAAAGCUCUAUCAGCAGGGAAGAAAAUGACGGUACCUGACUAAGAAGCUCCGGCUAAAUACGUGCCAGCAGCCGCGGUAAUACGUAGGUGGCAAGCGUUGUCCGGAUUUACUGGGUGUAAAGGGCGUGUAGCCGGGUCGAUAAGUCAGAUGUGAAAUCCACGGGCUCAACUCGUGAACUGCAUUUGAAACUGUUGAUCUUGAGUAUCGGAGAGGUAAUCGGAAUUCCUUGUGUAGCGGUGAAAUGCGUAGAUAUAAGGAAGAACACCAGUGGCGAAGGCGGAUUACUGGACGACAACUGACGGUGAGGCGCGAAAGCGUGGGGAGCGAACAGGAUUAGAUGCCCUGGUA